Molecule: long non-coding RNA, 1487 nt
Organism: Brassica napus (rape)
Lineage: Eukaryota; Viridiplantae; Streptophyta; Magnoliopsida; Brassicales; Brassicaceae
Exons: 2
Source: RefSeq, a predicted model, not a curated record
ACUUAUUUCGUUGGUAUGUCGUCGGAAUAACGUUAUUCCGACGAUUUGUUUCCUCAGUAUAUCGCUGUUUUCUUGUAGUGGAAGGCCAUGAUCCAAACGAGUCGAUAGGAAAUCUCCCUCCGGGUAGUAUCUACUCCUCACUACCUUCACGCAUAAAGAAUCAUCAAACAUAAGUAGCCCCCAUCCUUGUUUGACCAAAAGAGCUUGGUUGAAUUUCUCUAAAUCCCUAAACAAAAGACCUCCAUUCUCUUUAUCAAGACACGUCCUUUCCCAUGAAACCCAAUGCAUCUUAUUCUUUCUCUCUUGAGCGUUUCACCAGGAAUUUUCCAUCGCACUAGUGAAAUUUUGACAAGUCUUCUUUGGUAAUUUAAAAACCGACAUAGCAAAUACCGUCAUCACCAUUGCCACAAAUUUAAGGAGAAUUUCUUUCCCUCCUGCCGACAGAAAACUCCCAUACCAGCCAUUGAUGCGAUGUCAUCUUCUCCUGUAUAUAUUGAAGCAUUUCAAUUUUUGACCCACUGAAACACUAAGGUAAACCAAGAUACUUUCCAAUACUUCCUUCAUUCACAAUUCCUGUGAUAUCUUUGAUUUUCCUUUUGCGUUCCUCAUCAACUUUUUUUCCAAAAGUAAUAGCUGGUUUGGUAAAGCUAAUCAUCUGGCAUGAGGCACCUUCAUACUCUUUCAGUACCUUACAGACCGCCACUGUCAUCUAUAUUCUUCUUAAUCCUAAUGGUAGUGGCAAAGAAUACACUAUUAGAUCAAAUUGUCAUUUCUCGUUUAUCUUUAUGUUUCUUUUCUAAAUAUAUAUUAUAUAAAUUUCGAAUCUGUGACUAAUCGAAUUUGAUUGUUUUUGUAUAUUAAAAAAAUUAAAUAAAUUUAAAUAUAAAUGAGUUAAAAAUCAUUAAAUAAAUAAAAAAAACUAGAGAUUGUGAUUUUGGUCAAAAUAGAUCCUUUUAUAUCGGAAUCUGAAAAGAUAGAUAGCUUAAAUUAGACAUGUUUUAAUUUUUGAUUCAUCUAUAAAUGUACUUCUCUGACUUUUUAACUUUUAAAACACCAUUAUUUCAUUAUCGAAGAUGAAAAUUGCUUUCAAACAUUGGUUUAUUGGUUUCGUUAUCCUCACAAUUCUUCUGUUUGGCGAAACGACAGUUGCUCAGAAAGGAAAAGGUAACCAAUGUAAUGAAACAUUACAAAACAAAAGUGGAACAUGUGAUGCCAACAAAUGUCAAGCCGCAUGUGUCAAAAGGCAUAAACCAGGGCACGGUAUCUGCACAAAUGGCGAAGACAACAACAAAGGAAAAGUUAUAUGCAUAUGUCAUUAUCAAUGCCCUCGCUGAUUUUUUAUCUAUAUCGAAACUCAAAUAAUAUAAUAAUAAUAUUACGUUUUUGUUAAAGAAAAAAUAUAUUUUUUAAUAAAUUGUUGCUGGUGUUCUGGCAUAAUAAGAUGUACUAUGUCGAAUAGAAAUAUAAAUAACAAAUAUUGAUAUGCC